UUCUUUUUUAUUUGCUCUAUUUAUUUUUUUUUGUUCCCAUAAAUUAUGAUCUGGCUAACGAUCUAGAUUCAUAUCAGGAUCA
RNAcentral lists this transfer RNA (82 nucleotides) under Bretschneidera sinensis. RNAcentral describes it as "tRNA-Asp". The record is from RNAcentral. Lineage: Eukaryota; Viridiplantae; Streptophyta; Magnoliopsida; Brassicales; Akaniaceae.